This 213-nucleotide long non-coding RNA is filed under the name Elaeis guineensis (African oil palm). Its description in RNAcentral is "long non-coding RNA (EGUI_LNC000738)". The record is from RNAcentral. Lineage: Eukaryota; Viridiplantae; Streptophyta; Magnoliopsida; Arecales; Arecaceae.
UCCUCCUCUUUCUCCACCCAUUCCCUUCUCCUUUCUCCUUCCCUUCCUUCCCAUCCAUUUCUCUUCCUCAUCCUUCUUCUCCAAGCCAUCUAUAAACCUUCUCCUCUUCUCCACUUUUAUCCUUUCUUACCUUGCCCAUCUUCUUUCUCUCCAUCAUCUUCUCCUCCUCUUUCUCCUCCUCACUCCUAUUCAGGGGCGCAAAUGGAUCAGGUC